GAUGAACGCUGGCGGUAUGCUUAACACAUGCAAGUCGAACGGACUCUUCGGAGUUAGUGGCGGACGGGUGAGUAACGCGUGAGAAUCUGGCUUUGGGUUCGGGACAACCACUGGAAACGGUGGCUAAUACCGGAUGUGCCGAGAGGUAAAAGGGAAAUUGCCUGAAGAUGAGCUCGCGUCUGAUUAGCUAGUUGGUGAGGUAAAGGCUCACCAAGGCAGCGAUCAGUAGCUGGUCUGAGAGGAUGACCAGCCACACUGGGGCUGAGACACGGCCCAGACUCCUACGGGAGGCAGCAGUGGGGAAUUGUCCGCAAUGGGCGAAAGCCUGACGGAGCAAUACCGCGUGAGGGAAGAAGGCUCUUGGGUUGUAAACCUCUUUUCUUAGGGAAGAACAAAAUGACGGUACCUAAGGAAUCAGCAUCGGCUAACUCCGUG
RNAcentral lists this ribosomal RNA (435 nucleotides) under uncultured bacterium. RNAcentral describes it as "partial 16S ribosomal RNA". It matches the Rfam family "Bacterial small subunit ribosomal RNA", at positions 28 to 507 of the family's 1533-position model. The record is from RNAcentral.